RNAcentral lists this small RNA (107 nucleotides) under Marmota monax (woodchuck). Lineage: Eukaryota; Metazoa; Chordata; Mammalia; Rodentia; Sciuridae. The record is from RNAcentral.
GCUGGGUAUGGUGGCACAUGCCUGUAAUCCUGACUCCUUGGGAGACCGAGGCUGGAGGAUUGCAAGUUUGUGGCCAGUAUGGCCAACUUAGCGAGACCCUGUCUCAA